UGACUCUGGUUUCUACAAAAACCUUUUACAAGAGCUGGCUCUGAAAAAGGUUAUGCUUUACCUGUUUAUCAUGCAAAUCGAUCUAGUGAAGCACAUAUGCCAACUUUUGUAUCAACCGUUAAGGUAGAAGUAGAGGUUUUUACUGGGCUGGAAGCAAAGACGAAGAAGCAGGCAGAGACAAGUGCAGCAAAAGUUGCUUACCUGACUCUCAAAGAUUGUAUGUGGGUGUUUGUUUUUUCGCUUUCUUAUGUCUUUAGUUAUUAAAAAACUUGGUUGCAUUGAAGAGUAUUAUUGAUAAGAAUUGUAUCUAUACACUGAGGCCCCAAACUAUGAAAUUUAGCAAUCAGACAACUUGUCUUUUGAACUCCAUCUGAAGACAAUGACAUUAGAGCAACUUUUGCUGCUCCAUGCUCAGCUUCCUUUAAUGUGGGGAAACACUCCGGACACUUGUAAGUCUGUCAACCAACUGUGACCUCACACUUAAAGUAACUAGCAUGAGGAGGACCUUCCCGCGCACAAAAAUACAUAGGAAAAGCAAGAUUUCACCUUCACACCUAGAUUUGAGCUGGUUCUUGUGCAGUUGUAGUGUAUCUAUAAAUCAAAAGAAAAUGAUUAAAAGUCACAAUGCUACUUAUCAUUAAAACAAUAGUGUAGUUCCUUAAUUUGCUGUUUUAUUUAUCUAUUUUUAUCUCAA
Molecule: long non-coding RNA, 694 nt
Organism: Mangifera indica (mango)
Lineage: Eukaryota; Viridiplantae; Streptophyta; Magnoliopsida; Sapindales; Anacardiaceae
Exons: 2
Source: RefSeq, a predicted model, not a curated record